This 100-nucleotide small RNA is filed under the name Pan troglodytes (chimpanzee). RNAcentral describes it as "processed transcript". Lineage: Eukaryota; Metazoa; Chordata; Mammalia; Primates; Hominidae. The record is from RNAcentral.
UGGCAGCAUUGGCAUCACCUGAAAACUUGUCAAGGUGAUGUCAUUGUCUAUAUUAAUGAAGUUUGUGUCCUUGGACACACUCAUGCAGAUGUUGUCAAAC